RNAcentral lists this ribosomal RNA (184 nucleotides) under uncultured Prevotella sp. Its description in RNAcentral is "partial 16S ribosomal RNA". Lineage: Bacteria; Pseudomonadati; Bacteroidota; Bacteroidia; Bacteroidales; Prevotellaceae. The record is from RNAcentral.
GGAGUUUGGACCGUGUCUCAGUUCCAAUGUGGGGGACCUUCCUCUCAGAACCCCUACUGAUCGAUGGCUCGGUGGGCCGUUACCCCGCCGACUACCUAAUCAGACGCAUCCCCACUCCUAUAGCGGUAAACCUUUAGGUAUUCAUCUGAUGUCAUCAAAAUAACGACAUAGGGUAUUAAUCCGC